GACGUAGGGCGCGAGCGUUGUCCGGAUUUAUUGGGCGUAAAGAGCUCGUAGGCGGCUUGUUGCGUCAGCUGUGAAAACCCGCAGCUCAACUGUGGGCUUGCAGCUGAUACGGGCAGGCUUGAGUUCGGUAGGGGAGUCUGGAAUUCCUGGUGUAGCGGUGAAAUGCGCAGAUAUCAGGAGGAACACCGGUGGCGAAGGCGGCAUCCUGGACCAUUAUUGACGCUGAGGAGCGAAAGCCAGGGGAGCAAACGGG
Molecule: ribosomal RNA, 253 nt
Filed under: uncultured bacterium
Lineage: Bacteria
Description: partial 16S ribosomal RNA
Rfam family: Bacterial small subunit ribosomal RNA
Source: RNAcentral